RNAcentral lists this unclassified non-coding RNA (411 nucleotides) under Hevea brasiliensis (rubber tree). Lineage: Eukaryota; Viridiplantae; Streptophyta; Magnoliopsida; Malpighiales; Euphorbiaceae. The record is from RNAcentral.
CGUGACCAUCCUACACAUUAACGACCAGGAGCCGGAGCAAAGCUCUUAGCUAUCAACUCUCCGAAAUUCACAAAAUUCAGUUAGCAAAAUUCAUGGGUUAGAUCUCCGAAAUCUCCAAAUCUUGAUCGGUUGAUCGAAGAUGGCGGAGAAGAGCUUUAAUCUCCUCCACACUAUCGAGCGCAGGAGGGAUUCCUAUGGAUUUGCUUUGAGACCUCAACACGUACAAAGAUAUAGAGAGUACGUUAGUAUCUAUAAGGAGGAGGAACAGGAAAGAUCAGAGAAAUGGAGGAUCUUCCUUGAACAUCAAACAGAAUCUGAUCAAUUUUGCUCAUCUGAAGAGGAAUCUGGAGAGAUAUUGCGGGCUGCUAAAUUGGGAGUACAGACCAUUUCAGAAAGAGGCCAAGAGGGGGA